Molecule: long non-coding RNA, 423 nt
Organism: Felis catus (domestic cat)
Lineage: Eukaryota; Metazoa; Chordata; Mammalia; Carnivora; Felidae
Exons: 3
Source: RefSeq, a predicted model, not a curated record
GCUUCCCAUUGACUCCCAACUCACAGAGCCCAGGCUGAGAGUAAACAACUUUCCAGAAUCUCCUCAACCAUAAAAUGCUGCCUGGAUUCUGCAGUGGAAAACUUACUUAAACAAUGCCCAGGUUCCAGACACAGAGUCAACUGGAGAUGGCCACAUUUGCAGAGGCUGACUUCAAGACAUAUGUUCACUUUCUCCUCUAAAUUCUAUAAACUCUGUGUCCUUGGAUGAAGCCACUAUAGCUUGGGACCUGAACCACCACAGAACUGCUUUCAUAAAGUGGCUCUCUGUCCUACUCGCCAGCCUUUGUGGCUGGUGCUAUAGGAGAUGCCCAUGGUGCUGGAUUCAGCAUCAGGAUGUACCGGGGCUUUCAAUUCUGAUACUCCUUUCUGGGUUCAGUAUUGAGAAUACAUGUGUUUUCUCUGA